This 549-nucleotide ribosomal RNA is filed under the name uncultured bacterium. Its description in RNAcentral is "bacterial SSU rRNA". It matches the Rfam family "Bacterial small subunit ribosomal RNA", at positions 355 to 895 of the family's 1533-position model. The record is from RNAcentral.
UAGGGAAUCUUCGGCAAUGGACGGAAGUCUGACCGAGCAACGCCGCGUGAGUGAAGAAGGUUUUCGGAUCGUAAAGCUCUGUUGUAAGAGAAGAACGAGUGUGAGAGUGGAAAGUUCACACUGUGACGGUAACUUACCAGAAAGGGACGGCUAACUACGUGCCAGCAGCCGCGGUAAUACGUAGGUCCCGAGCGUUAUCCGGAUUUAUUGGGCGUAAAGCGAGCGCAGGCGGUUAGAUAAGUCUGAAGUUAAAGGCUGUGGCUUAACCAUAGUACGCUUUGGAAACUGUUUAACUUGAGUGCAGAAGGGGAGAGUGGAAUUCCAUGUGUAGCGGUGAAAUGCGUAGAUAUAUGGAGGAACACCGGUGGCGAAAGCGGCUCUCUGGUCUGUAACUGACGCUGAGGCUCGAAAGCGUGGGGAGCAAACAGGAUUAGAUACCCUGGUAGUCCACGCCGUAAACGAUGAGUGCUAGGUGUUGGGUCCUUUCCGGGACUCAGUGCCGCAGCUAACGCAUUAAGCACUCCGCCUGGGGAGUACGACCGCAAGGUU